AUAGCGUAUAUUAAAGUUGUUGCGGUUAAAAAGCUCGUAGUUGAAUCUGUGUGUCACGAUGUUGGUUCACCGCUCGCGGUGUUUAACUAGCAUGCCGUGAGACGUCCUACCGGUGGGCUUAGCUCUUAACGGGGCGGUCCAACAUACUCCCAUCGUGGUGCUCUUCACUGAGUGUCGAGGUGGGCCGGUACGUUUACUUUGAACAAAUUAGAGUGCUUAAAGCAGGCUAUUUUCGCCUGAAUACUGUGUGCAUGGAAUAAUGGAAUAGGACCUCGGUUCUAUUUUGUUGGUUUUCGGAACCCCGAGGUAAUGAUUAAUAGGGACAGAUGGGGGCAUUCGUAUUGCGACGUUAGAGGUGAAAUUCUUGGAUCGUCGCAAGACGGACAGAAGCGAAAGCAUUUGCCAAAAAUGUUUUCAUUAAUCAAGAACGAAAGUUAGAGGUUCGAAGGCGAUCAGAUACCGCCCUAGUUCUAACCAUAAACGAUGCCAGCUAGCGAUCCGCCGAAGUUCCUCCGAUGACUCGGCGGGCAGCUUCCGGGAAACCAAAGCUUUUGGGUUCCGGGGGAAGUAUGGUUGCAAAGCUGAAACUUAAAGGAAUUGACGGAAGGGCACCACCAGGAGUGGAGCCUGCGGCUUAAUUUGACUCAACACGGGAAACCUCACCAGGCCCGGACACCGGAAGGAUUGACAGAUUGACAGCUCUUUCUUGAUUCGGUGGGUGGUGGUGCAUGGCCGUUCUUAGUUGGUGGAGCGAUUUGUCUGGUUAAUUCCGAUAACGAACGAGACUCUAGCCUGCUAAAUAGGCGUACUUUCUGGUAUCUCGAAGGCCCCUGGCUUUGCCGGGUGGUUUUUACUACCGACGUACAAACAAAUCUUCUUAGAGGGACAGGCGGCUUCUAGCCGCACGAGAUUGA
This 914-nucleotide ribosomal RNA is filed under the name Enicospilus sp. JC199. RNAcentral describes it as "SSU rRNA". It matches the Rfam family "Eukaryotic small subunit ribosomal RNA", at positions 594 to 1449 of the family's 1831-position model. The record is from RNAcentral. Lineage: Eukaryota; Metazoa; Arthropoda; Insecta; Hymenoptera; Ichneumonidae.